CUGGUGAGUAACACGUGGGAAACCUGCCCAGAAGCGGGGGAUAACACCUGGAAACAGAUGCUAAUACCGCAUAACAACUUGGACCGCAUGGUCCGAGCUUGAAAGAUAGCUUCGGCUAUCACUUUUGGAUGGUCCCGCGGCGUAUUAGCUAGAUGGUGGGGUAACGGCUCACCAUGGCAAUGAUACGUAGCCGACCUGAGAGGGUAAUCGGCCACAUUGGGACUGAGACACGGCCCAAACUCCUACGGGAGGCAGCAGUAGGGAAUCUUCCACAAUGGACGAAAGUCUGAUGGAGCAACGCCGCGUGAGUGAAGAAGGGUUUCGGCUCGUAAAACUCUGUUGUUAAAGAAGAACAUAUCUGAGAGUAACUGUUCAGGUAUUGACGGUAUUUAACCAGAAAGCCACGGCUAACUACGUGCCAGCAGCCGCGGUAAUACGUAGGUGGCAAGCGUUGUCCGGAUUUAUUGGGCGUAAAGCGAGCGCAGGCGGUUUUUUAAGUCUGAUGUGAAAGCCUUCGGCUCAACCGAAGAAGUGCAUCGGAAACUGGGGAAACUUGAGUUGCAGAAAAGGACAGUGGGAACUCCAUGUGUAGCGUGGAAAUGCCUUAGAUAUAUGGAAGAA
RNAcentral lists this ribosomal RNA (621 nucleotides) under uncultured bacterium. Its description in RNAcentral is "bacterial SSU rRNA". It matches the Rfam family "Bacterial small subunit ribosomal RNA", at positions 103 to 706 of the family's 1533-position model. The record is from RNAcentral.